CAGGAGCAGCACUUUGAACAUCGCUCACACACCACCACACUGGUGCUCUGCUGAUAAAGGUUCAACUGCAGUCUGACUUGUUCUGAGGACACGUCUGAAGAGCCCCACAGAGAAACAGCAUCUAACCUGGUGGAGGAGGUGACAGGACUGGAGGUGGAGAUCAGGAGGGCUUCUUCAGAGUCACGUCAUUUCCUCCCUCCAGAGAGAGAAGCACAGCUCAGUCAUGUUUCUGGUCAGUUGCUGAGAUGUGUUCAGCUCUGACAUCCUCAUCCAUGAUCUCUGUUGUCAUCCCAGUCUCUGUGUUGCUACUGGGGGCUGCAGGUCUCUCUGAGGGGAGUGAUGUCACCCAGACCCCAAGCAUCCUCUGGUCUAUCAAGGGGCAGCCUGCUGAGAUGGACUGCAGUCACACUAAGGGUGCUUUAUACUACCAGAUGUACUGGUACAGACAGCUACCAGGACAGGGGAUGAAGCAGGUUGUGUACAGUGUGCCCAGCAGCAAGCCUGACUUUGGAGAGUUUGGUGAAGUCAAAUUCUCUGCAAACAAGACUGUAGCAGAGAGAGGAUCUUUCACAGUGAAGAACUCUUCACCAGAAGACAACGGCAUGUACUUCUGUGCUGUUUAUGAACACAGUGAUACAGACAUCAUGUGCAGCUGCACAAAAACCCCCAAUUUCUCAUGAAAGGCCCUGAGUGACGUCAUGUGAGAUGACAGUGUGUUCUGCUGACACUCCCUCCAUCCACCUCCUCUGGGCAGAGUCACUGUGACACAGCAGGGGGUGGGUGUAGCUCAGGGGUAGACAGCCUCCUCCCUCUCAGUUAGUAAGCAGACUUUGUGAACAAUACUUCUCAAACCGUUACAAAGUGCUUUCCUGUACAUUUAUCAAUCCAACAAACCAACACAGAAUCAAAGCAAUACCCAUUAAAGACAACAGUGGUCCAGCAGUAACAGGUCACUGAUUAUCUGAGUGAAGCCUCACUGGUAGAGCUUCAGCAAACAGGAAC
Non-coding RNA from Osmerus eperlanus (European smelt), 1002 nucleotides. The record is from the annotation of a RefSeq genome assembly. NCBI's taxonomy places the organism in Eukaryota, Metazoa, Chordata, Actinopteri, Osmeriformes, Osmeridae.